AGUGAACGCUGGCGGUAGGCCUAACACAUGCAAGUCGAACGGCAGCACAGUAAGAGCUUGCUCUUACGGGUGGCGAGUGGCGGACGGGUGAGGAAUACAUCGGAAUCUACUUUUUCGUGGGGGAUAACGUAGGGAAACUUACGCUAAUACCGCAUACGACCUACGGGUGAAAGCAGGGGAUCUUCGGACCUUGCGCGUUUGAAUGAGCCGAUGUCGGAUUAGCUAGUUGGCGGGGUAAAGGCCCACCAAGGCGACGAUCCGUAGCUGGUCUGAGAGGAUGAUCAGCCACACUGGAACUGAGACACGGUCCAGACUCCUACGGGAGGCAGCAGUGGGGAAUAUUGGACAAUGGGCGCAAGCCUGAUCCAGCCAUACCGCGUGGGUGAAGAAGGCCUUCGGGUUGUAAAGCCCUUUUGCUGGGAAAGAAAAGCAGCAGGUUAAUACCCCGCUGUUCUGACGGUACCCAAAGAAUAAGCACCGGCUAACUUCGUG
This 492-nucleotide ribosomal RNA is filed under the name uncultured bacterium. RNAcentral's name for it is "partial 16S ribosomal RNA". It matches the Rfam family "Bacterial small subunit ribosomal RNA", at positions 29 to 507 of the family's 1533-position model. The record is from RNAcentral.